Molecule: unclassified non-coding RNA, 302 nt
Filed under: plant metagenome
Description: partial contains 5.8S ribosomal RNA, internal transcribed spacer 2, and large subunit ribosomal RNA
Rfam family: 5.8S ribosomal RNA (bases 1-105)
Source: RNAcentral
GAAAUGCGAUAAGUAGUGUGAAUUGCAGAAUUCAGUGAAUCAUCGAAUCUUUGAACGCACAUUGCGCCCUUUGGUAUUCCUUAGGGCAUGCCUGUUCGAGCGUCAUUCAAACCUUCAAGCUCUGCUUGAUGUUGGGUGUCUGUCCCGCCUCUGGGCGCGGACUCGCCUCAAAUUCAUUGGCGGCCGGUACGUUGGCUUCGAGCGCAGCAGAAACGCGUUCUCGAGGCUGGCGGACUUGCUCCCAGAAGCUAACCCAUGAAUUUUGACCUCGGAUCAGGUAGGGAUACCCGCUGAACUUAAGC